Molecule: ribosomal RNA, 253 nt
Filed under: uncultured bacterium
Lineage: Bacteria
Description: partial 16S ribosomal RNA
Rfam family: Bacterial small subunit ribosomal RNA
Source: RNAcentral
UACGUAGGUGGCAAGCGUUAUCCGGAAUUAUUGGGCGUAAAGCGCGCGCAGGCGGUUUCUUAAGUCUGAUGUGAAAGCCCACGGCUCAACCGUGGAGGGUCAUUGGAAACUGGGGAACUUGAGUGCAGAAGAGAAAAGCGGAAUUCCACGUGUAGCGGUGAAAUGCGUAGAGAUGUGGAGGAACACCAGUGGCGAAGGCGGCUUUCUGGUCUGUAACUGACGCUGAGGCGCGAAAGCGUGGGGAGCAAACAGG